This 2730-nucleotide long non-coding RNA is filed under the name Physeter macrocephalus (sperm whale). RNAcentral's name for it is "Physeter catodon (sperm whale) lncRNA (ENSPCTG00005017536.1)". The record is from RNAcentral. Lineage: Eukaryota; Metazoa; Chordata; Mammalia; Artiodactyla; Physeteridae.
ACCCCUCCGGCGGCUGCCUCCACCCAAGUGGGUGGGGACCCGCCCAGCCCGGGCGGCCACGGCGGCUCCCUCUCCCCUCCCUGACCCUCCCACCCCGGGUCCCAGCCUCUACUUACCCCGCCAGCCCUGGGAGGCUCGCAGAGCGAGCGGCGCCGGCGUCAUGUGACUGCCCGGAGUUGGUGCCAGGAGCCAGAGGGGAGCCAGGAGCGGAGCCGCGCGGAGCCGGGGCCCGAGCUGGAGCGCAGCGCGAGCGCCCGCCGAGCCGAGCCGCGCCCGUCGCACGCGCGCCAGUCCCCGUCCCCUGCGGCCGCCACCGCCAACGCCGCCGGGACUGGAGCGCUGACACCACUGCAUCCGCGCGUUUCCAGGCAGCCCGGAUCCGGGCCUUUAUUUCUCGCCUGCAGCGCUCAGCACCGCGCCUCGAAAAAAAUGAAGUUUUAAAAAAAAGGUUGGAAAAGAAAACGUUUGACAAGCUUCCCCCUUAAAUGUCUUAUUUGGGGAUUUUCUCUAAAAUUUAAAGGAAUCAAUGGAAAGAGUUGCUGAGGAAGCACAUCAGGCCCUACCUGUUCUUCCCCCAGUCGGUAAUAAUAAUAAUAAUGCUUUGGUUUUAACAUCUCUUCCCAUCACCUUUUUCUUUGAUAGAUAAAAGGGAAAUGCACAAUAUGCUAUUAAGAAAGCUACUAGAGUCAAAUAGGAUAUUGACAACCUUCCAAGAAAAAAGAUGGGAGUUUGGAAAGUUUCAAUAAGAUUUUUUCUUUCUUGUUUGGAGGAAGCAAACUUGAAAUACUAAGGUGCUUGUAGGACAAGAGGCCUUUAAACUAAAUUCAUAAGUAACCCAAAUUGAAGUAAGUUUUUUUGUUUUAGUUCCAAAGUUGUGAACAAUGCAACUAGAUUUGGUAGACUGAGUUUUUAUUUGGCUUACCCCAAAUCAUUCUUUCCUUCCUAUUUGUUGGGAGAGGGAAGUGGUUAAUAGAGAUGAUUAGGAUCUAAUAUAUUCUGUCAGGAAAAAUUCUGCAAGCUUUUAAAUGUAAGCUAAACAGUUGGGAAAAAUUGUACCAGUCUGAUAGUUAUUAUAAUUACCAAAAAAGUGAGGGAGGUGAACACAAUAGUUUCAUCUCUAAACCAUGUAAAUCAUUUGUCUCCAUUCCCCCACCUUUUUAGAUACUUGCCUUCUUAAUUUGUCCAAAUCAACAUUUCUGCUAUAAAAUGAACAGCUUUCUUAAGUGGUUCUUACUCUCUGUUUUCACACCCAGUUGUGUUUAAGAAAAAUAAAUACAGGCAACCUCAUCCCUUAAGUAUCAGGAAUUACAUUAUUCUGGAAAUUGGGUUUCUUUCUGAAGUGCUUCAGUUAUCAUUGGUUAUAGCUUAAAAAAAAAUCCUAGAGAUAUAAAACAAUUGAUAUCUGGUUUGCUAAUAUGUAGUAUUCCAGCCAAAACUCAUGAUGGAGUGAGUUGGAAGGGAAGGAUUAUGAUGGCUUUUAGCAUUCUCAUUUUCAAGCCUGAUCUGUCCCUUUCUUAGACCCCGUUUCUCAUCUGAAGCAGUAAUGCCAGAGCUCGAGACAGGAAACCAGACAGCAGUCUGCCCUGAUAAGAGAGGGCAUUGUCUAAGGAAGGUAGCCCUGCUUUCCCCUCCUCAAUUCUCCUUCCUUGAAAUUUAGUAGUAAUAAGAGACACAAUGCUAUAGACACAGUUUCUGAACCAGAACUAGGACUGUUUUUUCCCACAGCAAAUAUAUGUAUGUAUAUACAUAUACACACACACACACACAUAUAUAUAUAUAUAUAUAUAUACACACACACACACAUAUAUGUAUGUCUCUAUGUAUAUCCUUUUAACUGGCUCUGUGCUUUUUCUGGAAUGUCACCAUAGUUUAAUGGCACAUUAGAAAAAAUUAUCAGUAUAUUUUGUAUCUACUGGUCAGAGUAUUUAAUAGUAAGUUUCUUUCUCUAGCAAAGCAGGUUCCUAGAGCUAUUGGAAACUCAUUCCUUUGUGUUGGCAGGCCGAAUACAUUAUCACUUCCCCCAUCUCAUUAUUAAUGGGAGCUGGAGGCUGAAUGUAGUAAGCUAAGUGGCCCUUCGGCCCAUGCAUCCCGUGUAACCCUGGGUCUAGCUUUUACUCUCUUCCCGGAAGGGGGUGCUUCCUGAGACAGCCCCCUUCCAAGAGGACCCUGAAGGAGCCCAGCUUAACCUGGGACAUGCUUAAGAUGGUUGCCAAUCUCUAGAAGGCCUGGGGCUCUCCAGGGAUGGCCUGGAGCUACUCUCAACCCAGAUGAGUGGAGUUUGGUCAAAGCUAGGCAGAAGAGGUCCAGCAGACACUGAGGUCAGCGCCUUCUACCCUGGAGAGCGACCUAUGAUCCAGUGUGGGGUUUUUCUCCUUUGUCCCAUAUACUCUUCAUUCUCCUAACUACUGUUCUCUGAGUCUAAUCACUGAAAUCCACUCUUCUGUUUGUUCUUGCACUUUACACCCUGGUACCUUCCAAAGCUUUGCACCCCCAAACCGCUAACAUUAGGAAGUUCAAGUUCCUGUUCCACUUAGUUCUCCAGACAAGGGUGUUUUGUCUCCCAAGCCUCCUGAGUAAAGUUUUCACAUUUACUUUGCGUUUCAGGUUUUAGAAGAUGAUUUUAAGGCUAGCUGCACUGGCUCCUGGGCAGAUUUUCCUUGUGUGACCCCUGGUGUACAGUCACUCUGAGACCCUUGCCCUUCAUUUUAUUCUAGCAUGUAAGAAGGGUAG